Molecule: long non-coding RNA, 1624 nt
Filed under: Homo sapiens (human)
Lineage: Eukaryota; Metazoa; Chordata; Mammalia; Primates; Hominidae
Source: RNAcentral
CUCCAAUAUCCAUUAUACCACUCUGUAUGCCUUUGCAUAGCUGGGUACAAAUUUUUUUAAAUAUGUUUGAAGACAGUGGAAAUUCAUCAAGGCAGGAGGCUUUGAAGGGCCAACGUCCCAGAAGAAAGGGAAAGCAUGUUGAGGUGAGGCCAACAUUCUGCAUGGUCUGUCCCAUGGGGGAUAUUUAUCGAUUUGUGAGAGGCAGCCAGACUCAGCAGGAGAUAGUGCCUAAGAGGUAGGAGGCUGAGAAGAACUUUCAGUAGUCUACAGUCCUGAGAAAACAAAAAUGGGAAUUUAGGACCUGUUAAGGAGGAAGGACCUGUUAAACACCACAGGAUAUCGUUAGCGUCCCUGAAGAACUAUAUUCUAGGACUAAAGCUGUAUCGGUCAGGGUUUAAUCAGGACACAGAAACCACACAGUCAUUUGAAACAGGAACGUUUAAUAUAAACAAGUAUUGUGCUCACUUUGGCAACACAUAUACUAAAAUGAUACAGAGAAGAAUAGGAUGGCCCCUGCACAAGGAUGACAUGCAAAUUCAUGGAGUGUCUCAUAUUUUUAUUUGCAAAAAUAAAAUAAAGAAGCAUUAACUCCAACAGGGUGUUGGCAUACUAAGGGAUUAGCUAGUAAGAAGAAAUGAGAAUUCCAAAGGACACAGGAACAGCAAAUUUAAGAAAAACCCACUACUCCUAGGGCUGAAAUAGCUGUGAAAUUGGCCAAGCAGAUGCCAAAGCAAGUUAUUCAUGGGGAGGUGCCUUAGCAGUUGCAACAGGCUGAGAAGUCACCCAGAAAUGUGCCAGGGGAAGCUUUUGGCUGCUAGGCACUGCUGACCACUUUGCACUGCCUGAGUGUACACUGAAGAAAUUGCACACGCUGCAGGAGUAAGGCAAAGGAGCAAACCAAAACCAGGAAGAUGGACUUCUUCCUGCUCCAGUGUUCCUCCAGCACCCACUACUGACAGCGCUUAACACUAUGCCAGCUGGCAAAAGAGAGAUACGAUAUUCCCCCUUAUCUGUGGGGAUAUGUUCCAAGACCCCUAGUGGAGACCUGAAACCACAGAUAGCACCAAACUCCAGCCAAAGAACGCCAAAGUUACAUUUUCUUUUCUUUUAUUAGACAGGGUCUCACUCUGCCACCCAGGCUGGAGUGCAGUGGUGGGAUCACAGCUCCUUGUAGCUUUGUUCUCCUGGGCUCAAGCGAUCCUCCCACCUCAGCCUCCCAAGUAGCUGGGACUACAGAUGUACGCCACCACACCCAGCUAACACAUUUUCACUUAAAGCAGCACUUUAUGGUUUCUUGUUGGCAUAUCCAAAUUGUUAGCAACACUACUCUUUGCUUUGGGGCCAUUAUUAAGUAAAAUAAAGAUUACUUGAACACAAGCACUGAGAUACCCGGACAGUCGAUCUGAUUACGAAUACCAACACUAAGUGAAUAACAGGCAGGUAUCGUAGACAGCAUGGAUAAUUCCCUUGAUCGUUCUUUAUACUUAACCUAACUUCCAUCUCUUUCCCUCCCUUCACUACUAAACCUCUUCAUUUUUUAUUUGUUUAUAUUUAUUUUUGCAAAAUCAGAGUCUCCCUAUGUGGCCCAGGCUAGUCUCAAGCUUCUGGGCUCAAGCAAUCCUCC